UACGGAGGGUGCAAGCGUUGUCCGGAUUUAUUGGGUUUAAAGGGUGCGUAGGCGGCCCGUUAAGUCAGUGGUGAAAGCCUCCAGCUCAACUGGAGAACUGCCAUUGAUACUGGCGGGCUUGAGUACAGACGAGGUAGGCGGAAUUGAUUGUGUAGCGGUGAAAUGCAUAGAUACAAUCAAGAACACCGAUUGCGUAGACAGCUUACUAGGCUGUAACUGACGCUGAGGCACGAAAGCGUGGGGAGCGAACAGG
RNAcentral lists this ribosomal RNA (253 nucleotides) under uncultured bacterium. Its description in RNAcentral is "partial 16S ribosomal RNA". It matches the Rfam family "Bacterial small subunit ribosomal RNA", at positions 524 to 776 of the family's 1533-position model. The record is from RNAcentral.